CCGCGCCUGGAGUGGCAGGGACUCAUGACGAUGGCACCGCUGGCCGAAGGCGACGAGGUGGCCCGGUUCUGCUUCCGGGGGCUCAGGC
This 88-nucleotide transfer RNA is filed under the name Planctomycetota bacterium. RNAcentral's name for it is "Planctomycetes bacterium (bioreactor metagenome) tRNA-Ala". The record is from RNAcentral. Lineage: Bacteria; Pseudomonadati; Planctomycetota.